This 72-nucleotide transfer RNA is filed under the name Salmo salar (Atlantic salmon). It matches the Rfam family "tRNA". From Rfam's summary of the family: Transfer RNA (tRNA) molecules are approximately 80 nucleotides in length. Their secondary structure includes four short double-helical elements and three loops (D, anti-codon, and T loops). Further hydrogen bonds mediate the characteristic L-shaped molecular structure. tRNAs have two regions of fundamental functional importance: the anti-codon, which is responsible for specific mRNA codon recognition, and the 3' end, to which the tRNAs corresponding amino acid is attached (by aminoacyl-tRNA synthetases). tRNAs cope with the degeneracy of the genetic code in two manners: having more than one tRNA (with a specific anti-codon) for a particular amino acid; and 'wobble' base-pairing, i.e. permitting non-standard base-pairing at the 3rd anti-codon position. Lineage: Eukaryota; Metazoa; Chordata; Actinopteri; Salmoniformes; Salmonidae. The record is from Rfam by way of RNAcentral.
GAUGAUGUGGCUCAGUUGCUAGAGCAUUGUUUUUGCAAUGCUAGGGUUGUGGGUUCAAUUCCCACCAGUACA